CCACUCUGCUCCCCCUUUUUUUUUGCUUUGCUUUAUGCCAUGAGAUGCGCCUUGACGCUUUUGUCUCCCGAUGGCAGUGUCCUGCCGAAGCGCUUCUCCUGCCAUAGGGGAUUCCGCUAAAGUCCGCAAUCCAACGUCUGAAGAAGAAGGUUUAUCAUUUAACAAAAAGGUCGAAGAAGAUGGAUGGCGAGCUUCGCAGG
This 200-nucleotide long non-coding RNA is filed under the name Elaeis guineensis (African oil palm). Its description in RNAcentral is "long non-coding RNA (EGUI_LNC078145)". Lineage: Eukaryota; Viridiplantae; Streptophyta; Magnoliopsida; Arecales; Arecaceae. The record is from RNAcentral.